GUAGGUGGCAAGCGUUGUCCGGAAUUAUUGGGCGUAAAGCGCGCGCAGGCGGUUCUUUAAGUCUGAUGUGAAAGCCCACGGCUCAACCGUGGAGGGUCAUUGGAAACUGGAGAACUUGAGUACAGAAGAGGAAAGCGGAAUUCCACGUGUAGCGGUGAAAUGCGUAGAGAUGUGGAGGAACACCAGUGGCGAAGGCGGCUUUCUGGUCUGUAGCUGACGCUGAGGCGCGAAAGCGUGGGGGAGCAAACAGGAUUAGAUACCCUGGUAGUCCACGCCGUAAACGAUGAGUGCUAAGUGUUAGGGGGUUUCCGCCCCUUAGUGCUGCAGCUAACGCAUUAAGCACUCCGCCCUGGGAGUACGGCCGCAAGGCUG
This 372-nucleotide ribosomal RNA is filed under the name uncultured organism. RNAcentral describes it as "partial 16S ribosomal RNA". It matches the Rfam family "Bacterial small subunit ribosomal RNA", at positions 527 to 896 of the family's 1533-position model. The record is from RNAcentral.